ACAGGUGGUGCAUGGUUGUCGUCAGCUCGUGUCGUGAGAUGUUGGGUUAAGUCCCGCAACGAGCGCAACCCUUGAUUUUAGUUGCCAGCAUUUAGUUGGGCACUCUAAAGUGACUGCCGGUGCAAGCCGGAGGAAGGUGGGGAUGACGUCAAAUCAUCAUGCCCCUUAUGACCUGGGCUACACACGUGCUACAAUGGAUAGUACAAAGGGUCGCGAAGCCGCGAGGUGGAGCUAAUCCCAUAAAACUAUUCUCAGUUCGGAUUGUAGGCUGCAACUCGCCUACAUGAAGCCGGAAUCGCUAGUAAUCGUGGAUCAGCAUGCCACGGUGAAUACGUUCCCGGGCCUUGUACACACCGCCCGUCACACCACGAGAGUUUG
Molecule: ribosomal RNA, 378 nt
Filed under: Listeria monocytogenes serotype 1/2a
Lineage: Bacteria; Bacillati; Bacillota; Bacilli; Caryophanales; Listeriaceae
Description: bacterial SSU rRNA
Rfam family: Bacterial small subunit ribosomal RNA
Source: RNAcentral